AACAGUAGAGUGUAGAGGAAACUGUAACUUGUAAUGUUCAAUAUUAUGAAUUUGGAAGAAAGUUUGCAGUUAUUUUGCUCAAUGGUUAUACAUGCUGUUACAUUAAAUCCUCUGUAUCCUGUAUAAUACAGAAACCCUGCUCAGAAACCAGAAGCCCUUGUACCUGUUCCCACAAAGACUGCGUAUUCUAGCUUGUUUGGCAGCUCUAUUACUUGUCUUUCUAAUGCAAGAAACAUGACAGGCCAAUUGUCUGAAGUCAUUUUGAAAGGAAAAUGAGCUUCAUUGCAUUUUUCCUGAAUAUCAUUCUUGUGUUGGUAUUUUUUUCACCUGACUGAAACACACUUAGCCAUGGAUCUGUGGGAAGUGAUGGUACAAUGAAGACUUUGCAGUGUGUCAUUGCUCGGUUUUCUCUACUCCAGUUUUGAAAGGAGAGAAGUCUA
This 440-nucleotide long non-coding RNA is filed under the name Gallus gallus (chicken). The record is from RNAcentral. Lineage: Eukaryota; Metazoa; Chordata; Aves; Galliformes; Phasianidae.